UAGUCCACGCCGUAAACGAUGUAUGCUUGGUGUUAGAACAAAUUGUUGUUCUAGUGCCGGAGAUAGUUCGUUAAGCAUACCACCUGGGAAGUACGAUCGCAAGGUUGAAACUCAAAGGAGUUGACGGGGGCCCGCACAAGCGGUGGAGCAUGUGGUUUAAUUCGAUGCAACGCGAAGAACCUUACCAGGCCUUGGCAUCCUAGGAAUCCUGUAGAGAUACGGGAGUACCUUCGGGAAUCUAGUGACAGGUGCUGCAUGGCUGUCGUCAGCUCGUGUCGUGAGAUGUUGGGUUAAGUCCCGUAACGAGCGCAACCCUUGUCCUUAGUUGCCAGCACAUAAUGGUGGGAACUCUAAGGAGACUGCCGGUGACAAACCGGAGGAAGGUGGGGACGACGUCAAGUCAUCAUGGCCCUUACGGCCUGGGCUACACACGUGCUACAAUGGAACGCACAAAGGGCAGCAAACCCGCGAAGGGGAGCUAAUCCCAAAAAGCCGACUCUCAGUUCGGA
RNAcentral lists this ribosomal RNA (509 nucleotides) under uncultured bacterium. RNAcentral's name for it is "bacterial SSU rRNA". It matches the Rfam family "Bacterial small subunit ribosomal RNA", at positions 791 to 1297 of the family's 1533-position model. The record is from RNAcentral.